RNAcentral lists this ribosomal RNA (824 nucleotides) under Mycobacterium sp. Its description in RNAcentral is "bacterial SSU rRNA". It matches the Rfam family "Bacterial small subunit ribosomal RNA", at positions 107 to 928 of the family's 1533-position model. The record is from RNAcentral. Lineage: Bacteria; Bacillati; Actinomycetota; Actinomycetes; Mycobacteriales; Mycobacteriaceae.
UGAGUAACACGUGGGCAAUCUGCCCUGCACUUCGGGAUAAGCCUGGGAAACUGGGUCUAAUACCGGAUAGGACCUUUAGACGCAUGUCUUUUGGUGGAAAGCUUUUGCGGUGUGGGAUGGGCCCGCGGCCUAUCAGCUUGUUGGUGGGGUGAUGGCCUACCAAGGCGACGACGGGUAGCCGGCCUGAGAGGGUGUCCGGCCACACUGGGACUGAGAUACGGCCCAGACUCCUACGGGAGGCAGCAGUGGGGAAUAUUGCACAAUGGGCGCAAGCCUGAUGCAGCGACGCCGCGUGGGGGAUGACGGCCUUCGGGUUGUAAACCUCUUUCACCAUCGACGAAGGUUCGGGUUUUCUCGGAUUGACGGUAGGUGGAGAAGAAGCACCGGCCAACUACGUGCCAGCAGCCGCGGUAAUACGUAGGGUGCGAGCGUUGUCCGGAAUUACUGGGCGUAAAGAGCUCGUAGGUGGUUUGUCGCGUUGUUCGUGAAAUCUCACGGCUUAACUGUGAGCGUGCGGGCGAUACGGGCAGACUAGAGUACUGCAGGGGAGACUGGAAUUCCUGGUGUAGCGGUGGAAUGCGCAGAUAUCAGGAGGAACACCGGUGGCGAAGGCGGGUCUCUGGGCAGUAACUGACGCUGAGGAGCGAAAGCGUGGGGAGCGAACAGGAUUAGAUACCCUGGUAGUCCACGCCGUAAACGGUGGGUACUAGGUGUGGGUUUCCUUCCUUGGGAUCCGUGCCGUAGCUAACGCAUUAAGUACCCCGCCUGGGGGAGUACGGCCGCANGGCUAAAACUCAAAGGAAUUUGACGGGGGGCCCGCACAA